UUAUUCCUACGGGGGGCAGCAGUAGGGAAUUUUCGUCAAUGGGCGCAAGCCUGAACGAGCAAUGCCGCGUGAACGAGGAAGGUCUUCGGAUCGUAAAGUUCUGUUGAAGGGGAAAAAGAGCGGAGAGAGGAAAGGGACUCCGAUUGAUAUUACCCUUCGAGGAAGUCACGGCUAACUACGUGCCAGCAGCCGCGGUAAUACGUAGGUGGCGAGCGUUAUCGGGAAUGAUUGGG
RNAcentral lists this ribosomal RNA (233 nucleotides) under uncultured bacterium. RNAcentral's name for it is "partial 16S ribosomal RNA". It matches the Rfam family "Bacterial small subunit ribosomal RNA", at positions 333 to 558 of the family's 1533-position model. The record is from RNAcentral.